UGGGGAAUUUUGGACAAUGGGCGAAAGCCUGAUCCAGCAAUGCCGCGUGUGUGAAGAAGGCCUUCGGGUUGUAAAGCACUUUUGUCCGGAAAGAAAUCCUUGGCUCUAAUACAGUCGGGGGAUGACGGUACCGGAAGAAUAAGCACCGGCUAACUACGUGCCAGCAGCCGCGGUAAUACGUAGGGUGCAAGCGUUAAUCGGAAUUACUGGGCGUAAAGCGUGCGCAGGCGGUUUGCUAAGACCGAUGUGAAAUCCCCGGGCUCAACCUGGGAACUGCAUUGGUGACUGGCAGGCUAGAGUAUGGCAGAGGGGGGUAGAAUUCCACGUGUAGCAGUGAAAUGCGUAGAGAUGUGGAGGAAUACCGAUGGCGAAGGCAGCCCCCUGGGCAAUACUGACGCUCAUGCACGAAAGCGUGGGGAGCAAACAGGAUUAGAUACCCCCGGUAGUCCACGCCCUAAACGAUGUCAACUAGUUGUUGGGGAUUCAUUUCCUUAGUAACGUAGCUAACGCGUGAAGUUGACCGCCUGGGGAGUACGGUCGCAAGAUUAAAACUUAAAUGAAUUGACGGGGUCAUAGCUGUUUCCU
Molecule: ribosomal RNA, 585 nt
Filed under: uncultured bacterium
Lineage: Bacteria
Description: partial 16S ribosomal RNA
Rfam family: Bacterial small subunit ribosomal RNA
Source: RNAcentral